Molecule: ribosomal RNA, 560 nt
Filed under: uncultured bacterium
Lineage: Bacteria
Description: partial 16S ribosomal RNA
Rfam family: Bacterial small subunit ribosomal RNA
Source: RNAcentral
UGGGGAAUCUUGCGCAAUGGGCGAAAGCCUGACGCAGCCAUGCCGCGUGAAUGAUGAAGGUCUUAGGAUUGUAAAAUUCUUUCACCGGGGACGAUAAUGACGGUACCCGGAGAAGAAGCCCCGGCUAACUUCGUGCCAGCAGCCGCGGUAAUACGAAGGGGGCUAGCGUUGCUCGGAAUUACUGGGCGUAAAGGGAGCGUAGGCGGACAUUUAAGUCAGGGGUGAAAUCCCGGGGCUCAACCUCGGAACUGCCUUUGAUACUGGGUGUCUUGAGUGUGAUAGAGGUAUGUGGAACUCCGAGUGUAGAGGUGAAAUUCGUAGAUAUUCGGAAGAACACCAGUGGCGAAGGCGACAUACUGGAUCAUUACUGACGCUGAGGCUCGAAAAGCGUGGGGAGCAAACAGGAUUAGAUACCCUGUAGUCCACGCCGUAAACGAUGAUUGCUAGUUGUCGGGGUGUUUACACCUCGGUGACGCAGCUAACGCAUUAAGCAAUCCGCCUGGGGAGUACGGUCGCAAGAUUAAAACUCAAAGGAAUUGACGGGGUCAUAGCUGUUUCCU